GAUGGGGAAGAGGUAUCCUGAGUGGUAUUCUGGGCUCCUGUCUCCCUUCCUUCCUCAGCACCUGACUGUUCUCUCCCCACUCAGCAAUCAUGCUUAGUUCUUUUGUGGAUCAGGGUGUUGGCAAAAUCCCCUGGCUUUAGGGAGCCUCUGUUGCUUGCCGGUUUGAGUUUCCAUCCAAGAGUAAAUGGGCUUCCUUCCAGCAAACAAGCUGACAAGAGCAAACCAGCCACAGGAUGCUUGGCAGCUUCUGGGGAAAAGGGGAAGUGAAAGAUACAUUAUUGUCAUCUGGCUUCGGAGGUUCAGAGGAGCUUUGAAAUACUGGUCUAGGUUUCCCUGAAGACAUCUCAGAGCUGACUUUCAGGCUUCCUGUGUUGCUUUUCUUUGUAAUUGUCCAGGCUCUGCAGUUUCUGCAAACCAUCCCAGUACCUGUCAAGGUGUGCCUUGUUGGUACGUUUAACUGAAACUGGUGUGGGGGAGUGCUGUAGAGAAAGUCCUAUUUGGGUGGUUAAGUAACCUCCUCUAGAGAGUUCUUAGGCUUACAGUUCUGCAGAUACUGAAACCAAAGGAAAUCAGAAGAUACUAGAGGGCUUCAUGUUUCUGUAAACUAGUGGGUUUUGUUUUUCUUCAAAAAAUGAAUGCUUUGCGAUAACUCACUAAAGGGAAAAAUAAAGUGGAAGAGGGUUACCUAGCACCACCAGGAAGAUGAAAAAGCUGGUGAGAAUCCAAAUCUGGCAGAAACCAGAGAUCAGAACCUGCAUACCCAUUUUACAGAAGGGAAGAGAAGUGUUCUGUGAUAAGUGAGAUGAUUGAUUUUUCAGAGUCCUGCAGCUGGUUCAAGGCAGCAUGAGGCUUGGAAUCCCUUUCUCUCAGCUCCCUGUUGUGGUUAUUUUAGGACCUUGUUCUGUUUUCCAUAUGGUCUCUAAGCUAGACACCUGACCUGGUGGGAGUAACCUUUCAAACUUUUCACAUGAACCAAGAACAUACCCAAAUCAUAAGAAGAAAGAUUUCUAGAUGCUAAAAUGCCAGCUCCCUGCCAUGAGCAAAACCCUGUCCAUGGGGAUAAACUUUGAAGUAAAGCCAGGUGACCUUUUCUUGAAUGGGCUCCUUGGUCAGGAAGCCUAUUAGCUUGUCCAGAUGCCAGGGUUAGGAUUUUGUUUGUUUUCCUUUAUUAGGCGUCCUUACAGUAUAUGACCAACCCGUGGCUUUCAAGCUGUGGACAUCCGGCCUGGCUAGAUUUCUACUUUUGCUUGUUUGUUUGGGUUGUGUUCCCCUCCAUUUCUCAGAAAGUGAAAGAGAAAUAAGAGUUGGCAGAAUGUUGCGAAAGCACAUCACGUCUUUGGCGAAGCGAGGGGUGAGAAGGCCCUGAUGUGUCUUCAAGAUUUAUCUGGGGAACCCCCUAAUGCUACUUCUUAGAAACGCUUCUGCAUUAGAGCAGCCAGGUGCGGACGUGUUAACCUUUGGGGUUUCUGAAGGCCUUUGGUUUCUUCCUCUUGGUCUAAACAGAAGUUCAAAAAGGGAAAGAAAUGUAGUUUCAGGGGCGUGUUGGGCUGAGCUCCAAAAGAAAUUGGAUGGGAUCCCAGGUCUGGCGUAUCAGCAAUUUCCAGGCACUCGGGAGGGGAAGAGAUCUUGAGUCAACCAUCCAGCCUGCUCCUUAGAGGGCGAACCAGUUAGUGCCUAUUGGUGGGGACCCAUAAGUCAUCAGUGGCCACGUGAAUCUGUACUUGGAACUCUGACUCCUUUCCAAAGAACUUUCUACCACCUCUGCUGUUUUCCUGGUUUCUAGCUGGUGGUGAUGCUAUGCCCAGGGACUGGGUCCAGCUCAAGCCAGGACCAGACCUGCAUGGAUCGCUUAAAACCCUAUGUCUUCCCCAGGGAGGGAAGCCAUGUUCUGUUCAUUCUUCGAUCUCGAUGACAAUGGCAGCUAUGUAAUGUGCCAGGUUUUAAUACAUUCAUUAUCCCAUUUACACCUUACCAAUUAUCCAGAGAGAAUAGGUAUCAUCCCCCGUUUAGAGAUAAAGGGUCAUAGGUUAAGGAAGCUGUCCAAGAUCACAUCAGGCAGUAAGUAUGGAGCCCUGGAACUUAACCAAGAGCUCUGCGAUCUGACGCCCAAGCCCAGGUUCAUAACCGCUGCACCACAUUGACCCCAGGAAGGCUGCUCUGUAGGCAUAGAAAUUUGGGGAGGCUUCGAGGAGGGGAUGCAGUUGGACAUUUUAUCUCUAGAGGAACAGAGGAAAGAAGGAAAUUUUUUCCUUCCUGUCUACCUGAAAUAUUUGCUUUCUCAUAUUGAUCACUAUUGAAAUGGAGUCAGACAAGGCCUUGACUCUUAUGCUAAGCAGCUCUGGGUUUAGCUCAGCUUUGCCACUGACUAGCUCUGACUCGGACAAGUUAUUUAAUGCAUCUGAGCCUUAAGUUGCCCAUCGGUAAAAUGGGAAUAACCUACCUUACAGAUUUUGUUGUGAAAUUGCUAUGAUGUAGGCGCAUCUAAAGUGUUAAGCCCAGAGGCCAGCCAUAGUAGAUGCUGAUAAAAAUACCACCAGUUGUUAUUAUUAUCUUUGUAAAGUCCUCUGUAAUUUUCUUCCAAGUGACUGAACUGGCUUUUGCUUAAACACUUGACUUCUCAGGAAA
Molecule: long non-coding RNA, 2625 nt
Organism: Sapajus apella (tufted capuchin)
Lineage: Eukaryota; Metazoa; Chordata; Mammalia; Primates; Cebidae
Exons: 2
Source: RefSeq, a predicted model, not a curated record